GUAGUCUCGCACAGAUGCAUAUCAAUAAGCGGAGGAAAAGAAACUAACAAGGAUUCCCCUAGUAACGGCGAGUGAAGCGGGAAGAGCUCAAAUUUGAAAUCUUAAAGGGUUUCCCUUUACGAAUUGUAGUUUAAAGAAGUGUUUUCUGUUGAGGUUUUGGUAAAAGUUCUUUGGAAUAGGACAUCAUAGAGGGUGAGAAUCCCGUAUUUGACCUUUACUUUCAACUUUGUGAUACACUUUCAAAGAGUCGGAUUGUUUGGGAAUGCAGUCCAAAAUGGGUGGUAAAUUUCAUCUAAAGCUAAAUAUUGGCGAGAGACCGAUAGCGAACAAGUACCUGUGAGGGAAAGAUGAAAAGAACUUUGAAAAGAGAGUUAAACAGUACGUGAAAUUGUCAAAAGGGAAGCGUUUGACACCAGUGUUGUUUUUCUGAAAAUCAAUUAAAGAACUGUUUAUGCUAAGUUGUUUAGACUUUAUCAGCUAACUGUUUAGUUUUGAGCUUUUCUUUAAUGCACUUUUCAGUUAACAAGUCAACAUCAAUUUCUUUUGCUGUAAAAAAGCUUGAGGAAGGUGGCUUGAGAUUCGUCUUAAGUGUUUAUAGCCUCUUGCCUAUGCAGUCGGAGAGAUUGAGGUCUGCAGCGUAGAUCCUUCGGGGCUAAAUGCAUUUGUGCUAAGUUAUAGCAUUUCAUAGACAACUUGUUGACUAUGAUUUGUCUUGUAGCUUACUCGCUUAUGUUAUUUUACCUACGCUUAGGAUGUUGAUCUGUAGUGCGUGCGC
RNAcentral lists this ribosomal RNA (775 nucleotides) under uncultured Neocallimastigales. Its description in RNAcentral is "partial large subunit ribosomal RNA". It matches the Rfam family "Eukaryotic large subunit ribosomal RNA", at positions 24 to 646 of the family's 3401-position model. Lineage: Eukaryota; Fungi; Neocallimastigomycota; Neocallimastigomycetes; Neocallimastigales. The record is from RNAcentral.